RNAcentral lists this ribosomal RNA (338 nucleotides) under Paralamyctes harrisi. Its description in RNAcentral is "partial 12S ribosomal RNA". The record is from RNAcentral. Lineage: Eukaryota; Metazoa; Arthropoda; Chilopoda; Lithobiomorpha; Henicopidae.
AAAAUAAUAAAUUAAAGAUUUUGAGUAGUAAUAGGGUUCUUAAAACUAAAAGAGUUUGGCGGUACUUUAGUCUUUUUAGAGGAACCUGUGAGUUAAUCGAUAAUCCUCGAGUAUCUUACCUAAAUUAAUAUUUGUAUAUCGUUGUCAUCAGAGUAAUUUUAAGAAUUUUCUCAGGAGAUAUAAUUAGGAUGUCAAAUCAAGGUGCAGUUUAUAUUAAGGGGUUUCAUGGGUUACAAUAUUGGAGAGUAUACGGAUAUUAUUUUGAAAGAGAUUUUAUAAGGUGGAUUUAAUUGUAAUUUUUUAUUAGAGUGGAUAGGUGAAUAAGUACUGAAGUAUGC